Molecule: unclassified non-coding RNA, 313 nt
Filed under: uncultured fungus
Lineage: Eukaryota; Fungi
Description: partial contains 5.8S ribosomal RNA and internal transcribed spacer 2
Rfam family: 5.8S ribosomal RNA (bases 1-133)
Source: RNAcentral
UGGUUCUGGCAUCGAUGAAGAACGCAGCGAAAUGCGAUAAGUAAUGUGAAUUGCAGAAUUCAGUGAAUCAUCGAAUCUUUGAACGCACAUUGCGCCCCCCGGCAUUCCGGAGGGCACACCUGUCCGAGCGUCAUUACAACCCUCAGGCUCUGCCUGGUCUUGGGUAUGGUCCACCUGGACCUUCCUGCAACUCGUGUGGUGGGACCAGAAAGCCCCAGAUGUAGCAACAGCACAAUUCAUCAAGGGGCUGACGGUUUUGGCCUAAGAAAAAACCCAGCAGUCUGACCUCGGAUCAGGUGGGAACACCCGCUGA